Molecule: ribosomal RNA, 552 nt
Filed under: uncultured bacterium
Lineage: Bacteria
Description: partial 16S ribosomal RNA
Rfam family: Bacterial small subunit ribosomal RNA
Source: RNAcentral
UAGGGAAUAUUGGUAAUGUGCGAAAGCGCGAACCAGCAACGCCGCGUGCACGAUGAAGGCCUUCGGGUCGUAAAGUGCUUUUAGAGAGGAUGAGGAAGGACAGUACUUUCUGAAUAAGCCUCGGCUAACUACGUGCCAGCAGCCGCGGUAAAACGUAGGAGGCAAGCGUUAUCCGGAUUUACUGGGCGUAAAGCGCAUGCAGGUGGUCUCGCAAGUUGGAUGUGAAAGCUCCUGGCUUAACUGGGAGAGGUCGUUCAAAACUGCGGGACUAGAGAGUGGUAGAGGGAGGUGGAAUUCCGGGUGUAGUGGUGAAAUGCGUAGAUAUCCGGAGGAACACCAGUGGCGAAAGCGGCCUCCUGGACCACUUCUGACACUCAGAUGCGAAAGCUAAGGUAGCAAACGGGAUUAGAGACCCCGGUAGUCUUAGCUGUAAACUAUGUGAACUUGGCGUCGGUGGGUUUAAAUCCAUCGGUGCCGAAAGCAAACGCGAAAAAGUUCACCGCCUGGGGACUACGGCCGCAAGGUUAAAAACUCAAAUGAAUUGACGGGGGU